CGUAGGGUGCAAGCGUUAAUCGGAAUUACUGGGCGUAAAGCGUGCGCAGGCGGUUGUGCAAGACAGAUGUGAAAUCCCCGGGCUUAACCUGGGAACUGCAUUUGUGACUGCACGGCUUGAGUGCGGCAGAGGGGGAUGGAAUUCCGCGUGUAGCAGUGAAAUGCGUAGAUAUGCGGAGGAACACCGAUGGCGAAGGCAAUCCCCUGGGCCUGCACUGACGCUCAUGCACGAAAGCGUGGGGAGCAAACAGGAUU
This 254-nucleotide ribosomal RNA is filed under the name uncultured bacterium. RNAcentral's name for it is "partial 16S ribosomal RNA". It matches the Rfam family "Bacterial small subunit ribosomal RNA", at positions 526 to 779 of the family's 1533-position model. The record is from RNAcentral.